AGUGAACGCUGGCGGUAGGCCUAACACAUGCAAGUCGAACGGCCGCACAGUAAGAGCUUGCUCUUACGGGUGGCGAGUGGCGGCCGGGUGAGGGAUACAUCGGAAUCUCCUUUUUCGUGGGGGAUUACGUCAGGUGACUUACGCCACUACCGCAUACGACCUCCGGGUGAAAGCCGGGGAUCUUCGGACCUUGCGCGAGUGAAUGAGCCGAUGACGGAUUAGUUAGUUGGCGGGGUAAAGGCCCACGACGGCGACGAUCCGUAGCGGGUCUGAGAGGAUGAUCAGCUAGAUUGGAAGUGAGACAGGGCACAGACACCGACGGUGAGCAGCAGUGGGGAAUAUUGGGCAAGGGGGGAGAGGCGGAUCCAGCCAAACCGGGUGAGGGAAGAAGGCCUACGGGUGGUAAAGCCAUGUUGUUGGGAAAAAAAAGCAGCCGGUUAAUCCCCCGCGGUUAUGACGGUACCCAAAGAAGAAGCACCGGCUAACUUCGUG
RNAcentral lists this ribosomal RNA (492 nucleotides) under uncultured bacterium. RNAcentral's name for it is "partial 16S ribosomal RNA". It matches the Rfam family "Bacterial small subunit ribosomal RNA", at positions 30 to 507 of the family's 1533-position model. The record is from RNAcentral.